RNAcentral lists this ribosomal RNA (466 nucleotides) under uncultured ammonia-oxidizing beta proteobacterium. RNAcentral describes it as "bacterial SSU rRNA". It matches the Rfam family "Bacterial small subunit ribosomal RNA", at positions 197 to 644 of the family's 1533-position model. Lineage: Bacteria; Pseudomonadati; Pseudomonadota; Betaproteobacteria. The record is from RNAcentral.
UGGAGGAAAGUAGGGGAUCGUAAGACCUUGUGCUUUUGGAGCGGCCGAUGCCUGAUUAGCUAGUUGGUAAGGUAAAGGCUUACCAAGGCUUCGAUCAGUAGUUGGUCUGAGAGGACGACCAGCCACACUGGGACUGAGACACGGCCCAGACUCCUACGGGAGGCAGCAGUGGGGAAUUUUGGACAAUGGGGGAAACCCUGAUCCAGCCAUGCCGCGUGAGUGAAGAAGGCCUUCGGGUUGUAAAGCUCUUUCAGUCGGGAAGAAAAGGUUACGGUUAAUACCUGUAACUCAUGACGGUACCGACAGAAGAAGCACCGGCUAACUACGUGCCAGCAGCCGCGGUAAUACGUAGGGUGCGAGCGUUAAUCGGAAUUACUGGGCGUAAAGGGUGCGCAGGCGGUCUUGUAAGUCAGAUGUGAAAUCCCCGGGCUUAACCUGGGAACUGCGUUUGAAACUACAAAGCUAG